This 421-nucleotide long non-coding RNA is filed under the name Sinocyclocheilus grahami. RNAcentral describes it as "lncRNA (ENSSGRG00000019959.1)". Lineage: Eukaryota; Metazoa; Chordata; Actinopteri; Cypriniformes; Cyprinidae. The record is from RNAcentral.
CGCGGGGCUGAGCGACGCUGCAGUCACGCGCUGUAGGGCGCGAGCGAUGCGGAGCGACGCUUCAGUCAUUCACCCGCGCGCUCACCGGGCAACCACGGCCAAGGCAUGGCAGAGAGGAGCCGAGGAAAGCGGAGGAAACAGGCGAACCCGCGGAGAAACCAAGGUGAGCCGGAGCACUGUCUGGGCUCUGAAGGCGAGGAUGAGGGCAGCGUUUGGGGGAUGGAGGUUCUGGACAGCAGAGAUGCUCAGGAUAAAGUCAGUCUGACGCCCAGCGAGGGCACGGAGCCCGGCAGUCCCGUCCCGUGUGCGGAGAGCUGGGCUGACACCGAAACCACACCGCUGAAAAUCACAGCCGCAGACCCCGAGCACUGUCAGACUGACGCUCGUGUGAUGGACGGCCCGAUUCACGCUCAACAGCGCA